UACAGAGGAUGCAAGCGUUAUCCGGAAUGACUGGGCGUAAAGCGCACGUAGGCGGUCUCUUAAGUCGGUGGUGAAAUCCUGGAGCUCAACUCCAGAACUGCCUUCGAUACUGAGAGUCUUGAGUCCGGGAGAGGUGAGUGGAACUGCGAGUGUAGAGGUGAAAUUCGUAGAUAUUCGCAAGAACACCAGUGGCGAAGGCGGCUCACUGGCCCGGUACUGACGCUGAGGUGCGAAAGCGUGGGGAGCAAACAGG
RNAcentral lists this ribosomal RNA (253 nucleotides) under uncultured bacterium. RNAcentral describes it as "partial 16S ribosomal RNA". It matches the Rfam family "Bacterial small subunit ribosomal RNA", at positions 524 to 776 of the family's 1533-position model. The record is from RNAcentral.